GUAGCCCACCUGAAAGGGUGAUCGGCCACACUGGGACUGAAACACGGCCCAAACCCCUACCGGAGGCAGCAAUAGGGAAUCUUCCCCAAUGGACCAAAGUCUGACCGAACAACCCCCCGGGAGUGAAAAAAGUUUUCGGAUCCUAAAACUCUUUUGUCAGGGAAGAACAAGUACCGGAAUAACUGCCCGUACCUUGACCGUACCUGGCCAGAAAGCCACGGCUAACUACCUGCCAGCAGCCCCGGUAAUACCUAAGUUGCAAGCGUUGUCCGGAAUUAUUGGGCGUAAAGCGCGCGCAAGCCGCCUUUUAAGUCUGAUGUGAAAGCCCACGGCUCAACCGUGGAAGGUCAUUGGAAACUGGAAGGCUUGAGUGCAGAAGAAAAGAACGGAAUUCCACGUGUAGCGGUGAAAUGCGUAGAGAUGUGGAAGAACACCAGUGGCGAAAGCCGCUCUUUGGUCUGUAACUGACGCUUAAGCGCGAAAGCGUGGGGAACGAACAAGAUUAGAUACCCUG
Molecule: ribosomal RNA, 514 nt
Filed under: Domibacillus indicus
Lineage: Bacteria; Bacillati; Bacillota; Bacilli; Caryophanales; Bacillaceae
Description: bacterial SSU rRNA
Rfam family: Bacterial small subunit ribosomal RNA
Source: RNAcentral